This 253-nucleotide ribosomal RNA is filed under the name uncultured bacterium. RNAcentral's name for it is "partial 16S ribosomal RNA". It matches the Rfam family "Bacterial small subunit ribosomal RNA", at positions 524 to 776 of the family's 1533-position model. The record is from RNAcentral.
UACAGAGGUGGCAAGCGUUGUUCGGAAUUACUGGGCGUAAAGGGCGCGUAGGCGGCCUACUAAGUCAGACGUGAAAUCCCCCGGCUUAACCUGGGAACUGCGUCUGAUACUGGAAGGCUUGAGGAUGGGAGAGGGAUGUAGAAUUCCAGGUGUAGCGGUGAAAUGCGUAGAUAUCUGGAGGAAUACCGGUGGCGAAGGCGGCAUCCUGGACCAUUACUGACGCUGAGGAGCGAAAGCCAGGGGAGCAAACGGG